This 406-nucleotide ribosomal RNA is filed under the name uncultured bacterium. RNAcentral's name for it is "partial 16S ribosomal RNA". It matches the Rfam family "Bacterial small subunit ribosomal RNA", at positions 28 to 526 of the family's 1533-position model. The record is from RNAcentral.
GAUGAACGCUAGCUACAGGCUUAACACAUGCAAGUCGAGGGACCGGCGCACGAGUGAGUAACACGUAUCCAACCUGCCCUUUACUCUGGGCUAGCCUUUCGGAAGAAAGAUUCAUACCCGAUCUAAAGGAUGGGGAUGCGUUCCAGUAGGUUGUUGGUGAGGUACCGGCUCACCAAGCCUUCGAUGGAUAGGGGUGCGGAGAGGAAGUACACCCAAAUCGGAACUGAGCGGCGGAACAAACUGCUACGGGAGGCAGCGUUGAGGGAUAUAGGUCAAUGGGGGCUAGCCUGAACCGGCCACGUUGCGUGAAAGAGGAAGGUUUAUGGGUCGUAAUCUUCUGUUAGAUAAGUAUAUGUAUUAUAUGAAUAAGGAUCGGCUAACUCCGUGCCAGCAGCCGCGGUAAUAC